This 567-nucleotide ribosomal RNA is filed under the name uncultured Alphaproteobacteria bacterium. RNAcentral's name for it is "bacterial SSU rRNA". It matches the Rfam family "Bacterial small subunit ribosomal RNA", at positions 54 to 669 of the family's 1533-position model. The record is from RNAcentral. Lineage: Bacteria; Pseudomonadati; Pseudomonadota; Alphaproteobacteria.
CAUGCAAGUCGAGCGCCCCGCAAGGGGAGCGGCAGACGGGUGAGUAACGCGUGGGAAUCUACCCAUCUCUACGGAAUAACGCAUGGAAACGUGUGCUAAUACCGUAUACGUCCUUCGGGAGAAAGAUUUAUCGGAGAUGGAUGAGCCCGCGUUGGAUUAGUUAGUUGGUGGGGUAAAGGCCUACCAAGGCGACGAUCCAUAGCUGGUCUGAGAGGAUGAUCAGCCACACUGGGACUGAGACACGGCCCAGACUCCUACGGGAGGCAGCAGUGGGGAAUAUUGGACAAUGGGCGCAAGCCUGAUCCAGCCAUGCCGCGUGUGUGAUGAAGGCCCUAGGGUUGUAAAGCACUUUCACCGGAGAAGAUAAUGACGGUAUCCGGAGAAGAAGCCCCGGCUAACUUCGUGCCAGCAGCCGCGGUAAUACGAAGGGGGCUAGCGUUGUUCGGAUUUACUGGGCGUAAAGCGCACGUAGGCGGACUAUUAAGUCAGGGGUGAAAUCCCGGGGCUCAACCCCGGAACUGCCUUUGAUACUGGUAGUCUUGAGUUCGAGAGAGGUGAGUGGAAUUC